GAAAAGGGGAGCUUGCCGUAAGCAGGCUGAGAACAGAAUGUUUGGUCUGGACCCGUAACCUGAUUUGGAUAAUGCCAACGUAGGGAUAGAGCAGAUGC
Molecule: non-coding RNA, 98 nt
Filed under: uncultured Marvinbryantia sp.
Lineage: Bacteria; Bacillati; Bacillota; Clostridia; Lachnospirales; Lachnospiraceae
Source: RNAcentral